RNAcentral lists this unclassified non-coding RNA (445 nucleotides) under Caenorhabditis elegans. RNAcentral describes it as "long non-coding RNA NONCELT024809". The record is from RNAcentral. Lineage: Eukaryota; Metazoa; Nematoda; Chromadorea; Rhabditida; Rhabditidae.
AUGAUCUACGGAUUCGAGUCGUCACCAUCUUCUUCGUCAUCAGACGAUGACUUUCCUGUCGUUCCCGAAAUGCGUCCAACCGACCUGUUGAGUUUGGCCAUGAAGAAGCGUCGUGCAUUGUACAACCAGAAGGAAAGGAACAUGCGGUGCGAGGUUUUGCAAACCUCGUUUAUUACUAGUUUGUAAUGAUCAACAUCAGCUGUGCGUCGCCGAACCAAUCGCCAAGAAAGCCAAAACAAGCAACUUCAUGGAUCCCUUCGGACUGGAAGAUUUCUUCAAGGGAAUUAGUUCCCGAUCUGUUAAAGGCAACUCGACUCCGAAGUCACUGGAGGAUAGCGCUUGAAGACCGUCGUUCAUCAGGAUCUCACCGAUUUCAUAUUACGGGCAUCGUCUCAAUAGGACAACUUGAAAUAAACAUGGUUUUUUAAUACAUACCUCUUCAAUA